GAAUUCGCCCUUAGAGUUUGAUCCUGGCUCAGGACGAACGCUGGCGGCGCGCCUAACACAUGCAAGUCGAACGAGCGAGAGAGAGCUUGCUUUCUCGAGCGAGUGGCGAACGGGUGAGUAACGCGUGAGGAACCUGCCUCAAAGAGGGGGACAACAGUUGGAAACGACCGCUAAUACCGCAUAAGCCCACGGCUCGGCAUCGAGCAGAGGGAAAAGGAGCAAUCCGCUUUGAGAUGGCCUCGCGUCCGAUUAGCUAGUUGGUGAGGUAACGGCCCACCAAGGCGACGAUCGGUAGCCGGACUGAGAGGUUGAACGGCCACAUUGGGACUGAGACACGGCCCAGACUCCUACGGGAGGCAGCAGUGGGGAAUAUUGCACAAUGGGGGAAACCCUGAUGCAGCGACGCCGCGUGGAGGAAGAAGGUCUUCGGAUUGUAAACUCCUGUUGUUGAGGAAGAUAAUGACGGUACUCAACAAGGAAGUGACGGCUAACUACGUGCCAGCAGCCGCGGUAAAACGUAGGUCACAAGCGUUGUCCGGAAUUACUGGGUGUAAAGGGAGCGCAGGCGGGAAGACAAGUUGGAAGUGAAAUCCAUGGGCUCAACCCAUGAACUGUUUUCAAAACUGUUUUUCUUGAGUAGUGCAGAGGUAGGCGGAAUUCCCGGUGUAGCGGUGGAAUGCGUAGAUAUCGGGAGGAACACCAGUGGCGAAGGCGGCCUACUGGGCACCAACUGACGCUGAGGCUCGAAAGUGUGGGUAGCAAACAGGAUUAGAUACCCUGGUAGUCCACACUGUAAACGAUGAUUACUAGGUGUUGGAGGAUUGACCCCUUCAGUGCCGCAGUUAACACAAUAAGUAAUCCACCUGGGGAGUACGACCGCAAGGUUGAAACUCAAAGGAAUUGACGGGGGCCCGCACAAGCAGUGGAGUAUGUGGUUUAAUUCGACGCAACGCGAAGAACCUUACCAAGUCUUGACAUCCUGCGACGCACAUAGAAAUAUGUGUUUCCUUCGGGACGCAGAGACAGGUGGUGCAUGGUUGUCGUCAGCUCGUGUCGUGAGAUGUUGGGUUAAGUCCCGCAACGAGCGCAACCCUUAUGGUCAGUUACUACGCAAGAGGACUCUGGCCAGACUGCCGUUGACAAAACGGAGGAAGGCGGGGAUGACGUCAAAUCAUCAUGCCCUUUAUGACUUGGGCUACACACGUACUACAAUGGCGUUAAACAAAGAGAAGCAAGACCGCGAGGUGGAGCAAAACUCAGAAACAACGUCCCAGUUCGGACUGCAGGCUGCAACUCGCCUGCACGAAGUCGGAAUUGCUAGUAAUCGCAGAUCAGCAUGCUGCGGUGAAUACGUUCCCGGGCCUUGCACACACCGCCCGUCA
RNAcentral lists this ribosomal RNA (1382 nucleotides) under uncultured bacterium. Its description in RNAcentral is "bacterial SSU rRNA". It matches the Rfam family "Bacterial small subunit ribosomal RNA". The record is from RNAcentral.